CCUACGGGUGGCUGCAGUGAGGAAUAUUGGUCAAUGGACGAGAGUCUGAACCAGCCAAGUAGCGUGAAGGAUGACUGCCCUCUGGGUUGUAAACUUCUUUUAUAUGGGAAUAAAAUGUUCCGCGUGUGGGCUUUUGUAUGUACCAUAUGAAUAAGGAUCGGCUAACUCAGUGCCAGCAGCCGCGGUAAUACGGAGGAUACGAGCGUUAUCCGGAUUUAUUGGGUUUAAAGGGAGCGUAGGUGGAUUGUUAAGUCAGUUGUGAAAGUUUGCGGCUGAACCGUAAAAUUGCAGUUGAAACUGGCAGUCUUGAGUACAGUAGAGGUGGGCAGAAUUCGAGGUGUAGCGGUGAAAUGCUUAGAUAUCACGAAGAACUCCGAUUGCGAAGGCAGCUCACUGGACUGCGACUGACACUGAGGCUCGAAAGUGUGGGGAUCAAACAGGAUUAGAUACCCCUGUAGUC
Molecule: ribosomal RNA, 460 nt
Filed under: uncultured bacterium
Lineage: Bacteria
Description: partial 16S ribosomal RNA
Rfam family: Bacterial small subunit ribosomal RNA
Source: RNAcentral